GAUGAACGCUGGCGGCGUGCCUAAUACAUGCAAGUCGAGCGAACGGACGAGAAGCUUGCUUCUCUGAUGUUAGCGGCGGACGGGUGGGUAACACGUGGAUAACCUACCUAUAAGACUGGGAUAACUUCGGGAAACCGGAGCUAAUACCGGAUAAUAUUUUGAACCGCAUGGUUCAAAAGUGAAAGACGGUCUUGCUGUCACUUAUAGAUGGAUCCGCUCUGCAUUAGCUAGUUGGUAAGGUAACGGCUUACCAAGGCAACGAUGCAUAGCCGACCUGAGAGGGUGAUCGGCCACACUGGAACUGAGACACGGUCCAGACUCCUACGGGAGGCAGCAGUAGGGAAUCUUCCGCAAUGGGCGAAAGCCUGACGGAGCAACGCCGCGUGAGUGAUGAAGGUCUUCGGAUCGUAAAACUCUGUUAUUAGGGAAGAACAUAUGUGUAAGUAACUGUGCACAUCUUGACGGUACCUAAUCAGAAAGCCACGGCUAACUACGUG
Molecule: ribosomal RNA, 497 nt
Filed under: uncultured bacterium
Lineage: Bacteria
Description: partial 16S ribosomal RNA
Rfam family: Bacterial small subunit ribosomal RNA
Source: RNAcentral